This is a non-coding RNA of Acanthosepion pharaonis, 96 nucleotides long. The record is from the annotation of a GenBank genome assembly. NCBI's taxonomy places the organism in Eukaryota, Metazoa, Mollusca, Cephalopoda, Sepiida, Sepiidae.
ACAACACUGGUUCCUGUAUGAUCACCAAAGUUAAGCAAUGUCAAGCCUGGUCAGUACCUAGAUGGGUGACCACUUGGGAAUACCAAGUGCUGUAAG